Molecule: long non-coding RNA, 219 nt
Filed under: Linum usitatissimum (flax)
Lineage: Eukaryota; Viridiplantae; Streptophyta; Magnoliopsida; Malpighiales; Linaceae
Description: long non-coding RNA (LUSI_LNC006937)
Source: RNAcentral
GUAGGCUUAGAACGACUUUCUUUCUAACGCCAAGUUCACAUUUUCCCGGUCUUUUUGGAUGCAACCCGGAUUCCUUUAAUAAGUUAUCGAAAAAUCUACCAAGUUCACGUUUUCUUGGUCUUUUUUAUUGAACAUAACAGUGAGCGCUAAUAUAAGUCCGGAAAGAGGAAUGAAAAAGCAAGAGGAGAGAAGUAGCUCGACCAAUCCAUAAUAGAGGAG